RNAcentral lists this unclassified non-coding RNA (480 nucleotides) under uncultured Bordetella sp. RNAcentral describes it as "partial 16S-23S ribosomal RNA intergenic spacer". It matches the Rfam family "Bacterial small subunit ribosomal RNA", at positions 311 to 794 of the family's 1533-position model. Lineage: Bacteria; Pseudomonadati; Pseudomonadota; Betaproteobacteria; Burkholderiales; Alcaligenaceae. The record is from RNAcentral.
CAUUGUCCCUGGGAAAUCAGCAGCAGCCGCAUGGACGGCAGUGGGGAAUUUUGGACAAAUGGGGAAACCCUGAUCCGUACCACUUCCGCGUGUGCGAUGAAGGCCUCGGGUUGUAAAGCACUUUUGGCAGGAAGGGAAACGGCACGGAUACCAUCGCGCCACCCAUCGGUGGUUCGGUGAAUAAGCCACCACAAUCACGCAGCCAGCAGCCGCGGUAAUACGUAGGGUGCAAGCGUUAAUCGAAAUUAUUGGGCGUAAAGCGGCACAGUAUGGCCCGGAAAGACAUGGAACCCAGAGCUUAACCUUUGGAACUGCAUUUCUUAACUACCGAGCUAGAGUGCUCGAGGGAGGUGGAAUUCAUGCGUGGCAGUGAAAUGCGUAGAUAUGCGGAGGAACACCGAUGGCGAAGGCAGCCUCCUGGGAUAACACUGACGCUCAUGCACGAGCGUGGGGUUAAACAGGAUUAGAUACUCCCGUAGU